AGAGUUUGAUCAUGGCUCAGAUUGAACGCUGGCGGCAGGCCUAACACAUGCAAGUCGAACGGUAACAGGAAGCAGCUUGCUGCUUUGCUGACGAGUGGCGGACGGGUGAGUAAUGUCUGGGAAACUGCCUGAUGGAGGGGGAUAACUACUGGAAACGGUGGCUAAUACCGCAUAACGUCGCAAGACCAAAGAGGGGGACCUUCGGGCCUCUUGCCAUCAGAUGUGCCCAGAUGGGAUUAGCUUGUUGGUGAGGUAACGGCUCACCAAGGCGACGAUCCCUAGCUGGUCUGAGAGGAUGACCAGCCACACUGGAACUGAGACACGGUCCAGACUCCUACGGGAGGCAGCAGUGGGGAAUAUUGCACAAUGGGCGCAAGCCUGAUGCAGCCAUGCCGCGUGUAUGAAGAAGGCCUUCGGGUUGUAAAGUACUUUCAGCGGGGAGGAAGGUGUUGUGGUUAAUAACCGCAGCAAUUGACGUUACCCGCAGAAGAAGCACCGGCUAACUCCGUGCCAGCAGCCGCGGUAAUACGGAGGGUGCAAGCGUUAAUCGGAAUUACUGGGCGUAAAGCGCACGCAGGCGGUCUGUCAAGUCGGAUGUGAAAUCCCCGGGCUCAACCUGGGAACUGCAUUCGAAACUGGCAGGCUUGAGUCUUGUAGAGGGGGGUAGAAUUCCAGGUGUAGCGGUGAAAUGCGUAGAGAUCUGGAGGAAUACCGGUGGCGAAGGCGGCCCCCUGGACAAAGACUGACGCUCAAGUGCGAAAGCGUGGGGAGCAAACAGGAUUAGAUACCCUGGUAGUCCACGCCGUAAACGAUGUCUACUUGGAGGUUGUGCCCUUGAGGCGUGGCUUCCGGAGCUAACGCGUUAAGUAGACCGCCUGGGGAGUACGGCCGCAAGGUUAAAACUCAAAUGAAUUGACGGGGCCCGCACAAGCGGUGGAGCAUGUGGUUUAAUUCGAUGCAACGCGAAGAACCUUACCUGGUCUUGACAUCCACAGAACUUUCCAGAGAUGGAUUGGUGCCUUCGGGAACUGUGAGACAGGUGCUGCAUGGCUGUCGUCAGCUCGUGUUGUGAAAUGUUGGGUUAAGUCCCGCAACGAGCGCAACCCUUAUCCUUUGUUGCCAGCGGUCCGGCCGGGAACUCAAAGGAGACUGCCAGUGAUAAACUGGAGGAAGGUGGGGAUGACGUCAAGUCAUCAUGGCCCUUACGACCAGGGCUACACACGUGCUACAAUGGCGCAUACAAAGAGAAGCGACCUCGCGAGAGCAAGCGGACCUCAUAAAGUGCGUCGUAGUCCGGAUUGGAGUCUGCAACUCGACUCCAUGAAGUCGGAAUCGCUAGUAAUCGUGGAUCAGAAUGCCACGGUGAAUACGUUCCCGGGCCUUGUACACACCGCCCGUCACACCAUGGGAGUGGGUUGCAAAAGAAGUAGGUAGCUUAACCUUCGGGAGGGCGCUUACCACUUUGUGAUUCAUGACUGGGGUGAAGUCGUAACAAGGUAACCGUAGGGGAACCUGCGGUUG
RNAcentral lists this ribosomal RNA (1521 nucleotides) under Salmonella enterica subsp. enterica serovar Typhi. RNAcentral describes it as "bacterial SSU rRNA". It matches the Rfam family "Bacterial small subunit ribosomal RNA". The record is from RNAcentral. Lineage: Bacteria; Pseudomonadati; Pseudomonadota; Gammaproteobacteria; Enterobacterales; Enterobacteriaceae.